Neopestalotiopsis sp. 37M is the source of this 111-nucleotide non-coding RNA. NCBI's taxonomy places the organism in Eukaryota, Fungi, Ascomycota, Sordariomycetes, Amphisphaeriales, Sporocadaceae. The record is from the annotation of a GenBank genome assembly.
GGCAUUGUGGCAGAGUGGUCUAAUGCGCAAGACUAGAAUGAAUCCAGUACUUUACUGAUCUUCUGCGAUCUUGUUCCUUCGGGAGCGUCUGUUCGAAUCAGGCCAAUGUCG